UAGGGAAUUUUCGUCAAUGGGGGCAACCCUGAACGAGCAAUGCCGCGUGAGCGAAGAAGGUCUUCGGAUUGUAAAGCUCUGUUGCCGGGGGAAAAAAGGAAAGGGAAAAGAAGGAAAAUGCUUUUUCUUUGGAUGGUACCCGGCCAGAAAGUCACGGCUAACUACGUGCC
This 170-nucleotide ribosomal RNA is filed under the name uncultured bacterium. Its description in RNAcentral is "partial 16S ribosomal RNA". It matches the Rfam family "Bacterial small subunit ribosomal RNA", at positions 355 to 509 of the family's 1533-position model. The record is from RNAcentral.